CCAUAGCCCUGAUUGUAGUGGAAAUCCCACAGCAGGAGAUGGACAAAGCGUAGGCGCGAGGAAUUGCAACGGAAAGCAGGUUCCCGG
This 87-nucleotide small RNA is filed under the name Chryseobacterium sp. FH1. Its description in RNAcentral is "Flavo-1 RNA". It matches the Rfam family "Flavo-1 RNA". The record is from Rfam by way of RNAcentral. Lineage: Bacteria; Pseudomonadati; Bacteroidota; Flavobacteriia; Flavobacteriales; Weeksellaceae.